RNAcentral lists this ribosomal RNA (1080 nucleotides) under Triticum aestivum (bread wheat). RNAcentral's name for it is "partial small subunit ribosomal RNA". The record is from RNAcentral. Lineage: Eukaryota; Viridiplantae; Streptophyta; Magnoliopsida; Poales; Poaceae.
AUGGGCAAGCACAUUGGUAUUGAUCUUGUUGGAGGAAACACCUCUGAAGAUGGCAAGUAUGUUGUUCCUCUGUGCAAACUUAGUGGCCCAGAUGGUUCCCGUGUCAAGUCUCUUUAUAGGGCUAAUGUCUGUCUAAAGCCGCCCCCUAGCUUCCGUGGCAUCGCAAACCUUAAGAAACUCAGCCUACAUUACGUGUCCAUCGACGCAGGCGAUCUCCAAUGUCUAUUGCUAAGCUGUGCUCUUCUCGAGAGUUUAAGCUUGGAGCGCUGCCCCUUGCCAAGUCUUAGCAUAUAUCAUGAGCUGAGGCAGUUGCAGUACCUAAGCGUGCGCAGGUGUGCAGUGGGAACGAUACAGUUGCAAGCUCCGAACCUUACCACAUUUGAGUUUGUUGAUUGUCUGACGCCAAUUGCGCUUGAUGAAUCUUUCAAGUUGUCAGAAGCAACCUUUGUGCUCAGGAGCAAAUCGUUCACUUGGUGUUGUGAUGCUACGGACUACAUCUUGAUGGAGCUUCCAACUAUUUUUCCUCAUGUGCAUAAACUCUCUCUGCAUUUUGUUGUUUUUCAGGUGCAUCGAUUCAGUAAAAGCAACACCACUUUUCUCAAUCUGCGACAUCUGAACUUGAACAUUAGCAUCAUGUCCAGUCCAGAGGAUACUAGCUGGGUGACGAGGUUUGUAUACCUGUUGGAAUUAGCGCCUCUAUUACAAGAAUUGGAACUCCACAUAAAGUGUGAUAGAUUUCGCGUCCCUUCUGCGAGGAUAGUGACGGUUGUUCCAGGGCCUCGACAUCGUCACCUCAGGAGUGUUCACAUUACUGGCUUUUGGGAUUUGGUGGGGAUAGCCGAGCUAGCGCUUUACAUCCUUGAGAAUGCUACUGUGCUCGAGCGUAUGGUUGUAGAUCCAGUGAUAUGGAUGGACAAAGGAGAUCUAUAUGAAGGUCAAUUAUAUUCAAUCAACAAGGACAGUAACUGCCAGGAGCUUAUUUGACCUAAGCUUGCCAAGGAGGGGCUGCUGCAGCACAAGAAGUUUGCCGAGAAACACCUUAGUAGAGAUGAGUUUCGUCACAUCAUAACCAUUUUAUGA